Molecule: unclassified non-coding RNA, 121 nt
Organism: Pongo abelii (Sumatran orangutan)
Lineage: Eukaryota; Metazoa; Chordata; Mammalia; Primates; Hominidae
Rfam family: Metazoan signal recognition particle RNA
About the family: The signal recognition particle (SRP) is a universally conserved ribonucleoprotein. It is involved in the co-translational targeting of proteins to membranes.
Source: Ensembl
GCUGGGCAUGGUGGCUCAUGCCUGUAAUCUCAGUACUUUGGGAGGCCGAGGUGGGUGGAUCACCUGAGGUCAGGAGUUCAAGACCAGCCAGCCUGACCAACAUGGUGAAACCCCGUCUCUA